GACGAACGCUGGCGGCGUGCUUAACACAUGCAAGUCGAACGGUGAAGCGCCUUCCUUUUUGGUGGGUGUGGAUGAGUGGCGAACGGGUGAGUAACACGUGAGUAACCUGCCCCCUUCUUCUGGAUAACCGCAUGAAAGUGUGGCUAAUACGGGAUAUUCUGGGUCUGUCGCAUGAUGGGUCUGGGAAAGAUAUUGUUUCGGUGGGGGAUGGGCUCGCGGCCUAUCAGCUUGUUGGUGGGGUGAUGGCCUACCAAGGCGGUGGCGGGUAGCCGGCCUGAGAGGGUGGGCGGUCACAGUGGGACUGAGACACGGACCAGACUCCUACGGGAGGCAGCAGUGGGGAAUAUUGCACAAUGGGCGCAAGCCUGAUGCAGCGACGCCGCGUGAGGGAUGGAGGCCUUCGGGUUGUGAACCUCUUUCGCCAGUGAAGCAGGCCUGCCUCGUUUGUGGGUGGGUUGACGGUAGCUGGAUAAGAAGCGCCGGCUAACUACGUG
Molecule: ribosomal RNA, 494 nt
Filed under: uncultured bacterium
Lineage: Bacteria
Description: partial 16S ribosomal RNA
Rfam family: Bacterial small subunit ribosomal RNA
Source: RNAcentral